Non-coding RNA from Callithrix jacchus (white-tufted-ear marmoset), 3545 nucleotides. Lineage: Eukaryota; Metazoa; Chordata; Mammalia; Primates; Cebidae. The record is from RefSeq and is a predicted model, not a curated record.
CUUUUUUCAGGGUCUAGUUUAGAUACUAAAGUCAUGAUCAAACCAAGGCUGCUGCUGCCCUUGUGAUAUUUACUUACCAAUGGGGAAAAAAUAAAAGAAAUAAAUAUAUAAUGUGUAACAAUAUAUCAGGCAUUAGUAAGCUUCAGGAAGGAAAAAAAAGCAGGAUAAAAAAGUUACCACUUUACAUAGAGUGGUCAUGGAAGGCAUCAUUAAAGAGGCAGUUUAAGCAGAGAGCUAAAUGAAGUGAUGUGAGAAGCCGUAUGAUUAUCCAGAGAGGAACAUUCCAGGUGAAGAAAACAGCCACUGACAUGAUUGAGGACCAGCAAGGAGGUCGUUAAGACUGAAGUAGAGCAAACAAGGGAAGAAUGAUCUAACUGCGAGCUACUGGACAAUUUGGAAAGUACCUGAAAUAACAGUUGAGUAUUUUGGAGAAAAUUCUGCCACGUGGAAAAGAAACAAACUGCGAAAAUGAUUUCCAUCCCAUCCAUUCUGUUUAAGAAAAAACAAAACAAAAAGGAUUUUGGGGUGACCUUGAUCUCAUAGAAUGCUGCAGACUGGAUUGAGGAAAGCAACAGUGAAUGCAGAGAGACUAGUUGGAGGCUAUUGCUGGAACCUAUAAAAGAUUACAGUUUGGACUGAAGAUGUGUUAGUGCAGAUGGAGAAAAGUGGAUGGACUGUACAGCACCUGGAAACUGAUUGUAUAUGACGGUGGAAGACUUGUAGGUUUUACACUAGUGACUCUUUGGAGGCAGAUGCCAUUACUGAGAUGGGAAACCCAGCAAGAGAUAUCCAGGGCCUAUACAAGUCUUUUUUUUUUUAAUUUUUUGAUACGGAGUUUCGCUGUUGUUACCCAGGCUAGAGUGCAAUGGCACAAUCUCAGCUCACCGCAACCUCCACCUCCUGGGUUCAAGAAAUUCUCCUGCCUCAGCCGCCCGAGUAGCUGGAACUACAGGUGCACACCACCAUGCCCAGCUAAUUUUUGUACUUUUAGUAGAGAUGGGGUUUCACCUUGUUGACCAGGAUGGUCUUGAUCUCUUGACCUCGUGAUCCACCUGCCUCAACCUCCCAAAGUGCUGGGAUUAUAGGCAUGAGCCACAAGUCUUGAAACAAACACACACACACACACACACACACACGUAAAUUAUAACUGUCAAAGUUAUAGGAGGAUUGUAUAUAAAAACAAGCUAUACUGAAAUGUAAAAGUAUAUCAAUACAUCAAAUUUCUUUAAGGGUACUUCAACUAAUAUUUAUGAGCAAUUUGCUUUUUAAAGUGCUGUUCUAAUAUGAAUAUUGGUUUAAAUUUUCCUAGCACACUUCAGAAUACUCUCAUAGUAAAAGAAGAAAAAGAAGAAGAAGAAGAGGAAGAGGAAGAAAGAAGAAGGAGGAGGAGGAGGAGGAGGAGGAAGAGAAGAAAGAGCUUUUAAACCUAUAUCUCAGAUAUUGGUUCUUUCCAUAUAAAAGAGACUUGGUUUUGCCCAUAUUCAACAAGAAUGGGAGAUGUAAUGUGAGAAAGUUCAAGCUGGUUUGUCCCAAUGAAUAUUUUUAACUAUCUUGUUCCUCUCAGGGAUAUAGAUCCUAAAGAGCUUCCAGCAUUGAAUGUAGCAUCUAAAUUUUAAAACAAUGUUACAUUAGUAGGUAGUUAGUUGACAAAAUACCUAGGAUCUGGAAAAUGGAUGUGAGUUGGGGAAGGCUUCUAGGUUUUGAUCAUGAGUAAAACAACAGUAAAAAUUGUAAAAAUGACAGCAACUUUACAGAAAUUUUAGUUUCCAGAACAUAUCUUCAUAAUCUCAUUUGAUUACAGUUGGUGUAUUUCUCACUGGGAAAACAUGAUGAUAAGCUAAAAUCCUACAAAAUGCACUGAAUUUUAGAGCUAAAUAACUUGUGUGCCCCCUUAAAGCUUGAUUUAAAAAAAAGGUAAGUUAAAGAUAAUUUAGACGUUCUACUUGACGCAGUGGGAAAGCAAACUUUGCCAAACCAAGAAACACUUUUUUCCCCAAGAAAUAGCCCAAGCCAACAUUUAUUUAAAAGAUUGAAAUAGAUUAAAAGAUGACACAUCUACAGUGACUUAUUAAGGGAAACCCAGGAUUUCGAGGGCAUAGUCCCUAACAUUUAUGGUGGAUGCCAAGGUAGAUUAAAAACCUACUCUCCCACAACACAGCUGUUUAUGCCUCUGUCAUCAGUAGUUUAGGCUGGAUGGACAAAAGGUGCUCCAAAUUGGCAAGCCUUAUGUUCUUAUUAUGUGUGUUUCAUCCCUAUGUUCUAGAAGAAGAAAGACCAUCACCACCAACCAACAUCCUCUCAUUCUGGUGUCAUCUAAAAAUACCUGCAGACAGUAUUACCCUGCGAUUACCUCACACGCCUGCCCAUCAGCCAUAGCCACCUCCUACCUCCCGCUCACUAAUAGCACAGUCCUGUAUCACCUCCUACUCAGCCAAGCAACACUACUGUAGCUGCUUUAGAUACACUCAUAUCUAUAUAUAUAGUCUCAUAUAUAAAUAUAUAUUCAGACAUAUACUCAUGUGCACACAAAAAUGCUUUUACAAAAGAAAAAGGGAAAGCUAGUUAUGUGAAAGUAGCUGCACUUUGGAAAGUUAGUGUGAUAUGCCAUUUGGAAAAUAGUUCCUGUUCUGUCUGGGUGUUCACCCAAAUGCCUACAGAAAAGCAUUUAAUCAUCUCAAACAUGAGCAGUAUUUGGUUUUAUUAACUCCUGACUCUUAAGCAAUUGAAGCCCCCAUUUUCUAAGUCCAUGUAUCAGGCCUUCUAUUUCCCUCUUUUAAUAUUAUAACAUUAUAAACUUAAUAUUUAUAAUAUUGUAGUGCAAGUUUUGAACCAGUCUGGAGCAUUUUCUAUUUUAAGAAUUUAUUUAUGAAUACUGUACUCAUCAUUCAACAAAUACAGAUUCUUCUGCCACCUGUUUUUACUGUUUUUUCUUUAUUACUAUUAUUUAGUAAAUCACUGAGGUAACAGUAUAUCAUUUUAGGACAGAAAUUAGUGAGAUGGAAAGGAAUCAAGAGCAGGUACAAGGGAAGGGAAGCAGAAAUAGGACUGGGAGAGAUCUGUCUCUGAUAGCAACAGCAGGCAAAAACCUCUAUUAGCAUAAUCAGAGCAACCAUGGCUUACUGCAGGGAGCAGGGAGACUGUGACUCUCAGCUCAGCUGCACCUAGCAACAAGCCCAAAUGAGCACCAUGGAGUAGCACCUAGGGCUGUGAGCAGGAACUGAGAUCACAGCCGGGGAAGCACUUUGAGGGUGAAAAUGGCAUGAGCCUGCAGGGGAACGUCUCCGUGAUGGUCCCAUCAUAUAAUUGAUAGUGAUCGUUUGUAUAAUGGUGAUUGAGCAGACAAUAGAAUGGGCACUGUGCAGACAGGACUAGGCUAGUUGCCAGAAACCCAGGACUCAAAUCCUGACUCGGAUGCUAACUUGCUCUGUGACUUCGAGCAAAUCCUUCAAAUAGCUGAGCCUUAGUUUUUCCCAUCUGAGCAAUAGCUACCUCUCCCAUUUGCCCGACAAAGUUAUUGUAAAUAUUUAAUUAGAAUUGUAUCUGAA